CCUUCAAGGCAAAGGUUUUCUUGAGAUAAUGAUGAUCUAGACAACCCUGUCUUGAUUGAU
Molecule: microRNA precursor, 60 nt
Filed under: Ornithorhynchus anatinus (platypus)
Lineage: Eukaryota; Metazoa; Chordata; Mammalia; Monotremata; Ornithorhynchidae
Description: Oan-Mir-1422-P16_pre stem-loop
Source: RNAcentral